This 301-nucleotide ribosomal RNA is filed under the name uncultured bacterium. RNAcentral's name for it is "partial 16S ribosomal RNA". It matches the Rfam family "Bacterial small subunit ribosomal RNA", at positions 509 to 808 of the family's 1533-position model. The record is from RNAcentral.
CAGUCGCCACGGUAAUACGUAGGUGGCAAGCGUUGUCCGGAAUUAUUGGGCGUAAAGCGCGCGCAGGCGGAUCAGUCAGUCUGUCUUAAAAGUUCGGGGCUUAACCCCGUGAUGGGAUGGAAACUGCUGAUCUAGAGUAUCGGAGAGGAAAGUGGAAUUCCUAGUGUAGCGGUGAAAUGCGUAGAUAUUAGGAAGAACACCAGUGGCGAAGGCGACUUUCUGGACGAAAACUGACGCUGAGGCGCGAAAGCCAGGGGAGCGAACGGGAUUAGAUACCCGUGUAGUCCCUGUCUCUUAUACC